RNAcentral lists this unclassified non-coding RNA (688 nucleotides) under Hevea brasiliensis (rubber tree). Lineage: Eukaryota; Viridiplantae; Streptophyta; Magnoliopsida; Malpighiales; Euphorbiaceae. The record is from RNAcentral.
UGGGUUGUAGUUAUCAAGCAGAGAACAAAAACGAGAAAAGGUACGCCUCCUUAAUACAUCUUCCUUUAGCCAGCUAAAUAAGCUUCCUUGUGCCACAUCUUCCUUCUCAUAUAUCUUUUUCCCCUCACCACAAUCAAUCUGAUAGUCCUUGCCAGGCACCAAACGAUUUAUGUCAAGAUGCCAGAGCCUGUUGCAAGCUUGCGAUAGGUCAGCAAGCUCCUCUUCUGAAGGGAUUAAAUUUUCAUCAUUUUCAACCUCAUCAGAGUAUUCUUGUUCACUAGGAGGUCUUUUGUAUCCAUGCCAGUGAUCCUUUUCAAUCUUGUGUGGUCGCUUAGGAUGCUUUUUGACAACUGUCUCCCAACCAUCAUUAUUUUCUUCUCCUCCCUUCUUUCUAUCCCAUUGAUUUUGAUUAUAAUCAUGUUGCUCAUCACAUUCAUUUCUUCCAUAUCCUUCAUGAUCAUCCUGUUUCCGCCACUGAUUUGUAGGACGAUAACCAUGCAAGUGAUCACUGCUCGCUUGAUCACUGUUAUCCUGCUCUCCGGAUACCACUUGCGCCCAGCUGGAUCUAGAUCGUUCAUCUCGUGGCUCAGCGCUCGAUUCGUCAUCUUUCUGGUCGUGGCCAAGAGCCACGUCCAUCAAACCCUUGAUAAGACCGUCCAUUUCUCGUUGCAGAGAGAGAGAGAGAGAG